GCGAACGGGUGAGUAACACGUGGGUGAUCUGCCCCUGACUUCGGGAUAAGCCUGGGAAACUGGGUCUAAUACCGGAUAUGACCUGACAUCGCAUGGUGUUGGGUGGAAAGCUUUUGCGGUUGGGGAUGGGCCCGCGGCCUAUCAGCUUGUUGGUGGGGUAAUGGCCUACCAAGGCGACGACGGGUAGCCGACCUGAGAGGGUGAUCGGCCACACUGGGACUGAGACACGGCCCAGACUCCUACGGGAGGCAGCAGUGGGGAAUAUUGCACAAUGGGCGCAAGCCUGAUGCAGCGACGCCGCGUGAGGGAUGACGGCCUUCGGGUUGUAAACCUCUUUCGCCAGGGACGAAGCGCAAGUGACGGUACCUGGAGAAGAAGCACCGGCCAACUACGUGCCAGCAGCCGCGGUAAUACGUAGGGUGCAAGCGUUGUCCGGAAUUACUGGGCGUAAAGAGCUCGUAGGCGGUUUGUCGCGUCGUCUGUGAAAUUCUGCAACUCAAUUGCAGGCGUGCAGGCGAUACGGGCAGACUUGAGUACUACAGGGGAGACUGGAAUUCCUGGUGUAGCGGUGAAAUGCGCAGAUAUCAGGAGGAACACCGGUGGCGAAGGCGGGUCUCUGGGUAGUAACUGACGCUGAGGAGCGAAAGCGUGGGUAGCGAACAGGAUUAGAUACCCUGGUAGUCCACGCCGUAAACGGUGGGUACUAGGUGUGGGGCUCAUU
Molecule: ribosomal RNA, 721 nt
Filed under: Gordonia sp. IBT2679-A12
Lineage: Bacteria; Bacillati; Actinomycetota; Actinomycetes; Mycobacteriales; Gordoniaceae
Description: bacterial SSU rRNA
Rfam family: Bacterial small subunit ribosomal RNA
Source: RNAcentral